UCGGUGGGGAUUAGUGGCGAACGGGUGAGUAACACGUGGGCAAUCUGCCCUUCACUCUGGGACAAGCCCUGGAAACGGGGUCUAAUACCGGAUAUCACUCCUCAGGGCAUCUUGGGGGGUUGAAAGCUCCGGCGGUGAAGGAUGAGCCCGCGGCCUAUCAGCUUGUUGGUGAGGUAAUGGCUCACCAAGGCGACGACGGGUAGCCGGCCUGAGAGGGCGACCGGCCACACUGGGACUGAGACACGGCCCAGACUCCUACGGGAGGCAGCAGUGGGGAAUAUUGCACAAUGGGCGAAAGCCUGAUGCAGCGAC
This 312-nucleotide ribosomal RNA is filed under the name Streptomyces sp. AR4. RNAcentral describes it as "bacterial SSU rRNA". It matches the Rfam family "Bacterial small subunit ribosomal RNA", at positions 82 to 395 of the family's 1533-position model. The record is from RNAcentral. Lineage: Bacteria; Bacillati; Actinomycetota; Actinomycetes; Kitasatosporales; Streptomycetaceae.